Molecule: unclassified non-coding RNA, 391 nt
Filed under: soil metagenome
Description: partial contains 5.8S ribosomal RNA, internal transcribed spacer 2, and large subunit ribosomal RNA
Rfam family: 5.8S ribosomal RNA (bases 1-122)
Source: RNAcentral
GAUGAAGAACGCAGCGAAAUGCGAUACUUGGUGUGAAUUGCAGAAUCCCGUGAACCAUCGAGUCUUUGAACGCAAGUUGCGCCCGAAGCCAUUAGGCCGAGGGCACGCCUGCCUGGGUGUCACACGUCGUUGCCCCCCCAUCUACUCCUUCUGGAUUGCGGGGGGCGGAUGAUGGCCUCCCGUGCGCCUCGUCGCGCGGUUGGCAUAAAUGCCAAGUCCUCGGCGACGCACGCCACGACAAUCGGUGGUUGCGAAACCUCGGUUGCCCGUCGUGUGCGGUCGUCGCGCAUCGAGGGCUCGAAAAAAUUGCCGGGCUCCGGCUCGGCUUUCAACGCGACCCCAGGUCAGGCGGGGUUACCCGCUGAAUUUAAGCAUAUCAAUAAGCGGAGGA